RNAcentral lists this ribosomal RNA (541 nucleotides) under Leucosporidium golubevii. RNAcentral describes it as "eukaryotic LSU rRNA". It matches the Rfam family "Eukaryotic large subunit ribosomal RNA", at positions 88 to 626 of the family's 3401-position model. Lineage: Eukaryota; Fungi; Basidiomycota; Microbotryomycetes; Leucosporidiales; Leucosporidiaceae. The record is from RNAcentral.
GGCGAGUGAAGCGGGAAGAGCUCAAAUUUGUAAUCUGGCACUUUCAGUGUCCGAGUUGUAAUCUCGAGAAGUAUUUUCCGCGCCGGACCGCAUACAAGUCUGUUGGAAUACAGCGUCAUAGUGGUGAGAACCCCGUAACUGAUGCGGAUGCCCGGUGCUUUGUGAUAUACUUUCGAAGAGUCGAGUUGUUUGGGAAUGCAGCUCAAAUUGGGUGGUAAAUUCCAUCUAAAGCUAAAUAUUGGAGCAAGACCGAUAGCGAACAAGUACCGUGAGGGAAAGAUGAAAAGCACUUUGGAAAGAGAGUUAACAGUACGUGAAAUUGUUGGAAGGGAAACGCUUGAAGUCAGACUUGCUAUUCGGAGUUCAGCCGCAAGGUGUAUUCUUCGAUUCGCAGGCCAGCAUCAGUUUUCGGGGGUGGAAAAUCACGGUUUGAAGGUAGCAACCUCGGUUGUGUUAUAGCUUUCCGUUGGAUUCAUCCUUGGGGACUGAGGAACGCAGUACGCUUUUUGCAAGGCUCUCGAGCUUUUCGUACUUAGGAUGC